CUUUCCUCUUUGUUUUUCACCUUCCUUGCUGUGCGAUUUUCUCCCUCUUCAUCGUUCCCUCUUUUGCUGCCAAAUCUUUGCUCUUUCUUCGCAGAAUAGUCGUUAGAAGAGAUCCUGACUUUAAUUUUAUUUUGGAUUUGGUUUCGGGUCUUCUCCGGUGUGCAACCCUUUGUUUGAUUUUAUUGGGUGUUUUGUUUCCGGUCUUCUCCGGUGACGAACCCUUUGUUGGCCAGCGUUUUGUUCUCAUCAGGUGCUUUGGCCGACGGACUCACUUGCCCAGUGGCGAAAGGGAGUUGUAGCUGGUGCUGAAAUUAGAGAUUCCGGUGCCGGGUCGUCGACAAGUUCGAUCAUCGCUGCCACCAGUUCACGCAGGCCUCAUCUCUAAGCUUUGGGAUCUGUAGACUGCUACAACUGCAGAGGUCAAACGCCGCAGCAGCCUCGCUCCGUUUUCCAAAAUCCUCUUCACUUAGGCACUAUGAGUAUAAACUAAUGAACAAAGGUGAAGGCGAUAUCUAUUUAUACGGUUGGAGUUCAGAGUGAAAGUUUACUUUGAUGCUAAUAGGUUGGAUCACCAGGUGAAAUUUUCAUUUUGAGAUGUAGAUAUACGUUCGCUGCUUGCAUAUAAAUUACUUUGUUUACCUGCAACCACUUGCUUGAUUGCCCUGUUGUUUUGGCUGCUUACUCAACCUUUUUAUACGUAGGAGAGAUUUGAGUUUUAUCAUUACAACUAAAUGUCCAUAGACACAUGAUACAGAUUGAAGCAAAUGUCAAAUUUAAAAUGGUAUGAAUCAGGACAGCUGCAAACUGUGAUUUGCGGACCUAAAACGGAAAAGUAACUUCGCGCUUCACUUCGGCAGCAUAAUCCAGCUUUCGAGUUCAGUUUUCAGUUGCUGACAGAAUGGAUAGGAUGCCAAAAAGAAAGGUGGCAUGAGGAAUAAUGGCUUUUUUGAGAGAAUUAGAGUUUGAUCUCUUCAUUUGGGUUGUGCAUAUUUCCUUUGAAUUAAUUUGGGUUGUGAGGAAGUGAAUAAUUAUUUGAAUUAAUUAAUUUCUCUUGAGUUGUGCAAAUUUCCUUUGAAUUAAUUUGGGUUGUGUUUGAGCAUUGUAUAGGCAUGAACGUGGGUAAAGAGUACGUGGAUAAAGGGAAGAGAAAAUGCUGUGAUCAUCCACCUCAAUCAAUUUAUUGAGGUAUUUUUUGUACCUUUUUUCUGUUUAAAAUUAUAUGUUUUUAAUCUUUUAGGAGUAUAUCAUCGAGGAUUUGCCACAAAUUUAUGAGAAUUUCAUUUCAUCCAAACAAUGGGCGUUGAAAUAACUUGGAAUCAGCUUUUCACAUAACAUGGAUGAUAAAUAUAAGAAACUCAUACACAUAAUUACUCCACCAAGGUAUAUUGUACAGAUUUAUACCACCUGGCAAUCAACGACUAAUUUUACUUCCAAGAAGGCAAGACAAACAUAUGGCAUGUCACAGUGGUAUAUUUUUCACUAACAUAUGGUAAAAUUGUACACAUCACAUUAGGCAAGUUUCAAUCUUUUUUGCUUCCAUUGUAACACAUUUCUAAUUAACAUUUCGUACUAAAUUUUGAUUAAACUUUAUUUAAAUGUUUGAUUUCAGAAUUUCACAAGUCGUACCACCUCAAUAAUAAGAAAAAAAAUACAUUUGAUCUCCGGUUAUAAGUUGUAUUCACAACUGUCCAAGAGAGUGCAGCAAAAGGUCAAUUUUUCCUUGGAAGCACCUCAAGCUGGGAGCAAAUCUGAUAUGAGAAUGUAAUUGUGGUGGAGAAUAUAGAGAAGAUGGUAGGAUCUUAUUUUCCAACAGAUAAGGGCAGUUUUUGGUUUUGGCAUUUAAGAUAUUUAAUUAGGGUUUCUCUUGCAAUUGUAGAAUUUGUUAAUUUUGGAAGCAUGAAUUAAAUGUUUGGGAUUAACUUACAAUGCUUCCUAUCAAAACCAAUCAAAACCAUUUUCUGAAUCUAAUGUUACAAUGUUGUGCACUCUCAUUGAUAAGCAGAUUUUCAUUAUGAUGAAUUUUCAGUCUUUCUCAAAAUCUCCAUAACUAAAAUUCAUGUGGCAUUCGGUGUGAAUUUUGUCGGAUUUGUCUCAUUGCAUUGUAUUGAUUUCUUGUAUUGUUACCAUGCCCAUCAAUUUUUCCUUUUUAUUCCUAACUGUUUUCACUUUCAAGGAAAAGAGGUUUCUUGUUUGAUGCCUUGCAGGAAAGCUGUGGUUUUGACAAUUAGGGCAAAUAAACGUCACUUAUGAAGAGGAUGAUUGCACCAUCCACCAAGUUGGAAAAGGAGGUGAAUCUUUGAUAUGGCAGAUCUGGAACUUUUACGUAUUGAUUUUAACCAACUCCUUUUUAGGUGUAAUUUUGGACUU
Pyrus x bretschneideri (Chinese white pear) is the source of this 2367-nucleotide long non-coding RNA. RefSeq lists it as uncharacterized. The transcript has 8 exons. NCBI's taxonomy places the organism in Eukaryota, Viridiplantae, Streptophyta, Magnoliopsida, Rosales, Rosaceae. The record is from RefSeq and is a predicted model, not a curated record.